GACGAACGCUGGCGGCGUGCUUAACACAUGCAAGUCGAACGGAAAGGCCCUGCUUUUGUGGGGUGCUCGAGUGGCGAACGGGUGAGUAACACGUGAGUAACCUGCCCUUGACUUUGGGAUAACUUCAGGAAACUGGGGCUAAUACCGGAUAGGAGCUCCUGCUGCAUUGUGGGGGUUGGAAAGUUUCGGCGGUUGGGGAUGGACUCGCGGCUUAUCAGCUUGUUGGUGGGGUAGUGGCUUACCAAGGCUUUGACGGGUAGCCGGCCUGAGAGGGUGACCGGACACAUUGGGACUGAGAUACGGCGCAGACUCCUACGGGAGGCAGCAGUGGGGAAUAUUGCACAAUGGGCGGAGGCCUGAUGCAGCAACGCCGCGUGCGGGAUGACGGCCUUCGGGUUGUAAACCGCUUUCGCCUGUGACGAAGCGUGAGUGACGGUAAUGGGUAAAGAAGCACCGGCUAACUACGUG
Molecule: ribosomal RNA, 468 nt
Filed under: uncultured bacterium
Lineage: Bacteria
Description: partial 16S ribosomal RNA
Rfam family: Bacterial small subunit ribosomal RNA
Source: RNAcentral